Molecule: ribosomal RNA, 460 nt
Filed under: uncultured bacterium
Lineage: Bacteria
Description: partial 16S ribosomal RNA
Rfam family: Bacterial small subunit ribosomal RNA
Source: RNAcentral
CCUACGGGUGGCAGCAGUGAGGAAUAUUGGUCAAUGGACGAGAGUCUGAACCAGCCACGUAGCGUGAAGGAUGACUGCCCUAUGGUUUGUAACCUUCUUUUAUAAAGGUAUAAAACGAGGCUCGUGUUCCUUUUUGCAUGUACUUUAUGAAUAAGGCUCGGCUAAAUGCGUGCCAGCAGCCGCGGUAAUACGGAGGGUCCGAGCGUUAUCCGGAUUUAUUGGGUUUAAAGGGUGUGUAGGUGGGUUGUUAAGUCAGUUGUGAAAGUUUGCGGCUCAAUUGUAGAAGUGCAAUUGAUACUGGCAGUCUUGAGUGCAGUUGGGGUGAGCGGAACUCGUGGUGUAGCGGUGAAAUGCGCAGAUAUCACGAAGAACCCCGGUGGCGAAGGCAGCUUACUGAGCUGUGACUGACGUUGAGGAUCGAAAGUGUGGGUAGCGAACAGGAUUAGAUACCCUGGUAGUC